GGAUUAUUGGUGUCAUAAUAGAUUAAAUGAUUAAAGGUGAUGUGUGAAUACCUAAUUUUGAGUUGAACUGUCAUGAACAUAUUUGACGUUUCUUAGUAUGUGGCAUCAUGUGUUUCUAACAGAAUAAAUGGUAUAGAGUAUUUGUUCCAACAGAUAAAGCUUAUUAUUACAUCAGUGUUAAAACCACAAUGUCCAGAGAAACUUGAAUGAGGAGGAACAGAUAUACAAUUGACAGGACAUGUUUAAGACUUUUAGUUUUGUUUUGACAUAAUUUUUGACAGAAGUUUUAAUGCUUAUCAUCUGCAUUACUUUACAAUUUUUCUAUUGAUUCUGUUGUAGUUGUUUCUUCUUUCAUGCAUGAUGUUUAAACCCUGCUGCAUUUAUUUGCACCUGUUCUAAAUCAGGAACCUGAUGUUCAGUGGUUGUUGUUUGAUUAUGUGGUUCAUAAGUGUUUCUUAUAUCUUUUUUUUAUAUAGAUCAGAAUAGAUAGUUGUUUUUCCCUUUGAGAUGUUUUACACAUGUCAUUUUUGGGGCUCUUUAUAGCUUGCUGUUCCAAGUGAGAAAAGGCUCUGUGUUGAAGGCUAUACUUUGAACUAUAACAGUCUUCUUUUACAAAUUGCGACCUUUGAUGGAGAGUUGUCUCAUUGGCACUCAUACCACAUCAUCUUAAAUCUAUAUAUGAUGGCUUCAAGAAGUAUUAUUUAUUCUCAAAUAGUUGUGAAGGUAGUUGUUGGAACAAGAAUACAUGCCAUCAUUAACUUGGGGGUAAAAAGUUACACAGAUGUGUUGGUUGCUUAAUGUCCAGUUGCAAAUAUUUCAUGAAUGUUUAGGAUGACUGCUAGGUGACAUAACUAUGUUUAAACCUUCAUAAACUGUUGUUUUUGUUUGUUUGUUUACCUUGUAUGUAAAUUCUAAAUAUUGUUUGCAACUAGCUCACAUCUUACGAUGUACAAUUUUGUCAAUUGCAUUGUCAAGGAGAUUCACUGUCUGUCUUUAGUUCUGAUUAAGGAAUAUAUCUAAUUUGACAGGGGGAAAUUAUGGAUAGUUGAGAGUCUGCAUUACCAUAUUGUCGUCCCUAAAUAUAUGUAUGACAGGGCUGCCAAGUCUAGCGUGAGACUCGCAGAUGUUCAUGCUUUUUUGUGGCAUUUUCCUUUGAUUUAUUGUUUUUUUCUCUUUGAUUUUUUCAAUUUUGGCCAAAUCUUAAGCAUUUGCUUCACGAAAAGUGGGCAGAACUGGUAUGUGAUAUUUGCCACUGGACAUCAAACACCACUGUACCAUUAUCAGCAGCAGGAUAUUUUUUUACAUAUCAAAAUGGCACAUAUCCAGAUAAUUUUUUAUUUACAUAACAUAAAAAAAACUGCUUUGGGUUUUCCCUUUUCCUCUUUUCAAUUUAAUAAAAUUUCACAGACGAGGAUUUCCGUCUGAACUUUGAUAUCACAUAAAAGUUAGCCUGAGUUAUUUCAAGAAGUUGUACAUGUUACACAAUUUAUUUUUCAUAGUCUUUACUUUUGUAUUCUGCUUUACUCACCUUUUUAACGUCUGUUCUGCAACAGUUGAUGUGGUGACAAUCCCUGUAUUCGUCUUCAAAUGAUCAAGAAAAUUGUCAUGCGAGCACAACUAGACUAAAUUUGCACUGUCACUUUUGUUUUGACAACUUUUUCCUAGUUAGUAAGGCAGAGUCGUGAGAGUUCCGAAUGGAAUUAGGUCAAUGGAUUUCGUAAUCCCGGUACUCACGUGUGUUGGUGUAUUUAUAACUAACAUUCCUAGACUGUUCGAAUGUUCUGGACAGAAUUAAGAAGAUAUAGAUCAGUUUUUGCAGUUAAAUGAAAUAAAUUGUUCUGCAUUUGUCACAGGUUUACUCUUGGACCCAAAACAUCUCGGGUAAAAAGGUAGAGUAAAAAGGUAGAACGUCAGGAAAGACAACUUUUACCUUGACCUACUUAUGAUUUAACUUAGCCUUAGUGCAUUCAAACUCAUCAGUAUGCACUUUUCGGUUGAAACCUAUAUAUGAAGAGGAAGGUUCAAUGUGAUGGGAGACCGAGAAAAAGGAGAGGAAGGGUGUGAAAAAGUACGGAAAGGAUGAGAAGAAGGACAGAUAGAAAAUUAAAGUUGAAAACUGGUCUGCAAAAUUUGCAAAAUGAUAGAUCAUGAUAGGGACUUCCCUGUCCUUCCCUUUAAUCACCGACUCUUGGUACUUUCUGCAGAUAAGUCAUAUUAAAUAUCCUUUAUUAAAUAUACUUGUUAUUUGCAGUAUACCUCAUAGUCAAAUGUGUGAGUGCUAAAUUGUUUUUUUUUCUUUUUUUUUUCUUUUGUAUUUUUUAUAUGAAGAU
RNAcentral lists this long non-coding RNA (2330 nucleotides) under Mytilus galloprovincialis (Mediterranean mussel). Lineage: Eukaryota; Metazoa; Mollusca; Bivalvia; Mytilida; Mytilidae. The record is from RNAcentral.